GAUGAACGCUGGCGGCGUGCUUAACACAUGCAAGUCGAACGGUGAAGCUCAGCUUGCUGGGUGGAUCAGUGGCGAACGGGUGAGUAACACGUGAGCAACCUGCCCCUGACUCUGGGAUAAGCGCUGGAAACGGUGUCUAAUACUGGAUAUGUACCACGAUCGCAUGGUCUGUGGUUGGAAAGAUUUUUCGGUUGGGGAUGGGCUCGCGGCCUAUCAGCUUGUUGGUGAGGUAAUGGCUCACCAAGGCGUCGACGGGUAGCCGGCCUGAGAGGGUGACCGGCCACACUGGGACUGAGACACGGCCCAGACUCCUACGGGAGGCAGCAGUGGGGAAUAUUGCACAAUGGGCGCAAGCCUGAUGCAGCAACGCCGCGUGAGGGAUGACGGCCUUCGGGUUGUAAACUCCUUUCGCCAUUGACGAAGCCCUUUGGGGUGACGGUAGGUGGAGAAGAAGCACCGGCUAACUACGUGCCAGCAGCCGCCGUAACAC
Molecule: ribosomal RNA, 490 nt
Filed under: uncultured bacterium
Lineage: Bacteria
Description: bacterial SSU rRNA
Rfam family: Bacterial small subunit ribosomal RNA
Source: RNAcentral